Molecule: long non-coding RNA, 588 nt
Organism: Marmota monax (woodchuck)
Lineage: Eukaryota; Metazoa; Chordata; Mammalia; Rodentia; Sciuridae
Exons: 3
Source: RefSeq, a predicted model, not a curated record
GCCAACCAUGCACGAAGCCCUGGGUUUGACCCCCAGCACUGCCAAAUAAAUAAUACAUAAAUAGGUUUCACUUGGUGACAUGAGGAGCCAUUCAUCAUCUGGAGCAAGAGCAUGGACAGGACCCUAACUUGGGACUACUGCAGCCUUGAGGGAGUCCAGCUGGAAGGGGCAACAGCAGAGGAGGAGCAGUGCUCGAUUCACUCACAGCCCAGUCUCGUGUCCCAACUGUGUGCAGGGUCCACUCCAUCCAGGCCUGGCUAAGCCAGGGCUCCGAAGACGGACCAGUGCCCAAAUAAGCCACAGGGUUUCCUUCACCUCCUGAGCUUGACCUGGUUCCCAUCUCCUGCCCUGUCCAUGUCCAGGCUGUGUCCUACCAUACUGGCUCCAGAGUGUCCUGGUGUAGAAGGAAAAAAUCUCUGUUCCACUCAGUGCCUGGGAGCAUGCUGGGCAUGAAAGGUGGAAGGCAUGUCACAUAACCAGAUAAUGGCAGCUGCAGUCACUAUGAUAUUGAUGAGGGUAGAGGCAACUGGUGGUACAGUAGUCUGUUUUUGUAUUACUGUAACAAAACAACUGAGGCAGGCUAUUUAA